AAUACGGAGGGUGCGAGCGUUAAUCGGAAUUACUGGGCGUAAAGACGCAUGCAGGCGGCCCGUGUUAAGUCAGAUGUGAAAGACCCGGGGCGUUAACCUCGGAAUUGCAUUUGAAACUAGGCAGGCUAGAGUCUUGUAGAGGGGGGUAGGAAGUUUCAGGUGUAGCGGUGAAAUAGCGUAGAGAUCUGAAGGAAUACCAGUGGCGAAGGCGGCCCCCCUCGGACAAAGACUGACGCUCAGAUGCGAAAGCGUGGGGAGCAAACAGGAUUAGAUACCCCUGGUAG
This 284-nucleotide ribosomal RNA is filed under the name uncultured bacterium. RNAcentral describes it as "partial 16S ribosomal RNA". It matches the Rfam family "Bacterial small subunit ribosomal RNA", at positions 522 to 793 of the family's 1533-position model. The record is from RNAcentral.